GUGACCUCAAAUCAGGUAGGACUACCCGCUGAACUUAAGCAUAUUAAUAAGCGGAGGAAAAGAAACUAACAAGGAUUCCCCUAGUAACUGCGAGUGAAGCGGGAAAAGCUCAAAUUUAAAAUCUGUCAGUCUUUGGCUGUCCGAGUUGUAAUCUAGAGAAGUGUUAUCUGCGUUGGACCGUGUACAAGUCUCCUGGGAUGGAGCGUCAUAGAGGGUGAGAAUCCCGUCUUUGACACGGACUACCC
This 245-nucleotide ribosomal RNA is filed under the name uncultured Cortinarius. RNAcentral describes it as "partial 28S ribosomal RNA". It matches the Rfam family "Eukaryotic large subunit ribosomal RNA", at positions 1 to 238 of the family's 3401-position model. Lineage: Eukaryota; Fungi; Basidiomycota; Agaricomycetes; Agaricales; Cortinariaceae. The record is from RNAcentral.